RNAcentral lists this ribosomal RNA (440 nucleotides) under uncultured Geminicoccus sp. Its description in RNAcentral is "bacterial SSU rRNA". It matches the Rfam family "Bacterial small subunit ribosomal RNA", at positions 338 to 795 of the family's 1533-position model. Lineage: Bacteria; Pseudomonadati; Pseudomonadota; Alphaproteobacteria; Geminicoccales; Geminicoccaceae. The record is from RNAcentral.
CCUACGGGAGGCUGCAGUGGGGAAUCUUGGACAAUGGGGGCAACCCUGAUCCAGCGACGCCGCGUGGGUGAUGAAGGCCUUCGGGUUGUAAAGCCCUUUUGUCGGGGGAGAUGAUGACGGUACCCGACGAAUAAGCACCGGCUAACUCCGUGCCAGCAGCCGCGGUAAGACGGAGGGUGCUAGCGUUGUUCGGAAUUACUGGGCGUAAAGGGCGCGUAGGUGGCUUGUUAAGUCGGGUGUGAAAGCCCGGGGCUCAACCCCGGAACUGCACCCGAGACUGGCAGGCUGGAGACCGGGAGAGGAGAGUGGAAUACCCAGUGUAGAGGUGAAAUUCGUAGAUAUUGGGUGGAACACCAGUGGCGAAAGCGGCUCUCUGGCCCGGUUCUGACACUGAGGCGCGAAAGCGUGGGGAGCAAACAGGCUUAGAUACCCCAGUAGUC